GACGAACGCUGGCGGCGUGCUUAACACAUGCAAGUCGAACGGUGAUGCUCCAGCUUGCUGGCGUGGAUCAGUGGCGAACGGGUGAGUAACACGUGAGCAACCUGCCCCAGACUCUGGAAUAAGCGCUGGAAACGGCGUCUAAUACUGGAUACGAAACUGGCCCGCAUGGGCAUGGUUUGGAAAAUUUUUCGGUUUGGGAUGGGCUCGCGGCCUAUCAGCUUGUUGGUGAGGUAAUGGCUCACCAAGGCGACGACGGGUAGCCGGCCUGAGAGGGCGACCGGCCACACUGGGACUGAGACACGGCCCAGACUCCUACGGGAGGCAGCAGUGGGGAAUAUUGCACAAUGGGCGAAAGCCUGAUGCAGCGACGCCGCGUGAGGGAUGACGGCCUUCGGGUUGUAAACCUCUUUCAGCAGGGAAGAAGCGAAAGUGACGGUACCUGCAGAAGAAGCACCGGCUAACUACGU
RNAcentral lists this ribosomal RNA (467 nucleotides) under uncultured bacterium. RNAcentral's name for it is "partial 16S ribosomal RNA". It matches the Rfam family "Bacterial small subunit ribosomal RNA", at positions 28 to 506 of the family's 1533-position model. The record is from RNAcentral.